ACUAGGACGUUGAUAGGUUGGGUGUGUAAGUGCUGUGAGGCAUUGAGCUAACCAAUACUAAUUGCUCGUGAGGCUUGACCAUA
Molecule: ribosomal RNA, 83 nt
Filed under: Marinomonas pollencensis
Lineage: Bacteria; Pseudomonadati; Pseudomonadota; Gammaproteobacteria; Oceanospirillales; Oceanospirillaceae
Description: partial 23S ribosomal RNA
Rfam family: Bacterial large subunit ribosomal RNA
Source: RNAcentral